CCCUUAGAUGUUCUGGGCCGCACGCGCGCUACACUGAUGCAUUCAACGAGCCUAAAACCUGGUCUGAUAGGGCUGGGUAAUCUUUUGAAAGUGCAUCGUGAUUGGGAUAGAUGAUUGCAAUUCUUCAUCUUCAACGAGGAUUACGUCCCUGCCCUUUGUACACACCGCCCGUCGCUCCUACCGAUUGAAUGAUCCGAUGAAUACCAUGGAUUGAGAAUACGAAUAGGUUCGCUUAUUUCUGCUACUCAAGAAGUGGAGUAAAUCUUAUCAUUUAGAGGAACGAGAAGUCGUAACA
This 295-nucleotide ribosomal RNA is filed under the name uncultured eukaryote. RNAcentral's name for it is "partial 18S ribosomal RNA". It matches the Rfam family "Eukaryotic small subunit ribosomal RNA", at positions 1470 to 1796 of the family's 1831-position model. The record is from RNAcentral.